GUGCAAAGUUCUCAUCAAUAGAAACAAAUUAAGUUCAAACAGCAGGAAAUUGCUAUAAAUCGUUAAAGAGUUACCUCGACUAACUUUUGUCUCCAUCAUCAGACUGCAAUGGCACUUAUAACUCAUACAGGUGCAAAGUUCUCAUCAAUAGAAACGAAUUAAGUUCAAAAAGCAGGUAAUUGCAAUAAAUUGUUGAAGAGUUCCCUCGACUAUCUUUCGUCUCCAUCAUCAGACUUUAAUGGCACUUGUAACUCAUAUAGGUGCAAAGUUCUCAUCAAUAGAAACGAAUUAAGUUCAAACAGCAGGGAAUUGCUAUAAGUCGUGAAGAGUACCCUCGACUAUCUUUCGUCUCCAUCAUCAGACCGAAAUGGCACUUAUAUCUCAUAUAUAUGCAAAGUUCUCAUCAAUAGAAACGAAUUAAGUUCAAACAGCAGGUAAUUGCUAUAAAUCGUUAAAGAGUUCCCUCGAC
Molecule: unclassified non-coding RNA, 469 nt
Filed under: Melitaea cinxia (Glanville fritillary)
Lineage: Eukaryota; Metazoa; Arthropoda; Insecta; Lepidoptera; Nymphalidae
Description: misc RNA ENSMCXG00005019969.1
Source: RNAcentral